RNAcentral lists this long non-coding RNA (661 nucleotides) under Lactuca sativa (garden lettuce). RNAcentral describes it as "long non-coding RNA (LSAT_LNC001981)". Lineage: Eukaryota; Viridiplantae; Streptophyta; Magnoliopsida; Asterales; Asteraceae. The record is from RNAcentral.
UUCUUUCACGUUGUUUACAGGUACGAUCGGCCUUCUUUGAUUAAUGCUCUGUUUAUGACAAUGUCUUCUGUUAUUAAUGUUGUGUUUAUGCAAUGCUGCUAGUUGACUAGGAGUUGAUAAUGGUUAUACUGUGUAAAAGUAUAAAUGCUACUCAGUAAUUGGUUUAUUAGACCAUAAUCAGUAAAAUUUCUAGUAAUCGACAAUUUCACAUGGUUCCAACUUCACGUUAGUUUUCACAUCAGAAACAUGUUCCAAACCAGAAUCAUUACCGGAAUGUGGUGAUUCUUUAGAGAGGGUAAUCUGGUCUUUUUGUUCUGGACUGGUGAUUGAAGUAGAACUUUCACUCUCCUGUGAUAACUUGUCAGCUAUGGAUGCCAACAAGUCAAAGGCGCAUAUUUUGCUACCCUCUGAUGAUUUCCUAUGUGAACUCCUCUAAAGAAACAAAAAAAAUGUGUCAAUAUUCUUUCUUAUAGAAAAACUCAGAAAGAAUUUGCUACAAACCCCUUUCACCAAACAUCUAUUCAGAGCUCACCACUUCUCCAAUAGCAGCAGCCUCACUUGGGCAGGUGUAUAAAGGUAAUUAAUUAAUUACCUGGGGUUUAUCUGAUGUGUCCUUUUUUGAUGAUCUUUUUUGAGAAGCCUCUUUUACUGUGAGACAAAC